AUGUCAGGAAUGUUUGUGUUCGGGUCUGAGUCAUGCUUUUAUGUGUCCAGCAGAGGCACCAGGGUGAUCGUCCUUGGGUUUUUGUAUGGGACUGAAUCAUGGUGUGCUAUUUUCGGCGGUGGCACCCAAGUGACCGUUCUUGGUCAACCCAAGUCUUCGCCCUCAGUCACUCUGUUCCCACCAUCCCCUGAGGAGCUCCAAACCAACAAAGCCACAGUAGCAUGUCUCAUGAGUGACUUCUACCCAGGAACAGCGACCGUGAAGUGGAAGGUAGAUGGCUCCCCUAUCACUCAGGGCAUGGAGACCACCAAGCCCUCCAAACAGAGCAACAACAAGUAUGUGGCCAGCAGCUACCUGACCUUGUCAGUCGACCAAUGGAGAUCUCACAGAACAUGCAGCUGCGAAGUCACGCAUGAAGGAAGCACCGUGGAGAAGACAGUGGUCCCUGCACAGUGUUCUUAG
Carlito syrichta (Philippine tarsier) is the source of this 462-nucleotide non-coding RNA. NCBI's taxonomy places the organism in Eukaryota, Metazoa, Chordata, Mammalia, Primates, Tarsiidae. The record is from the annotation of a RefSeq genome assembly.